AGUGAAAGCCCAAGUUUGGUUUUGGUAAUUAAUGACACCAAGUUGCUAAUGCCUUGUGUUUAAGUGAUUUGAGUUAGGCAUAGCAACACAUGUGAUGAAGGUGCAUGGUGGCAUGGAAAGGUGGCCACACGAUCACAAAGGGAUGAAGCAUGAAGUGGAGAUCAUGGUGAUAGACGAGGAGCAAAGUUAUCAAGGCAAAGGUAUAAACAUAGGGUUUUACUUUUGCCGGUCUAAGAUGAGUAGAGAAGUGAUUGACCGGGUUUAGAAUAGAUAGCCGACUAUCAAGAGGGGAAAUCACG
This 299-nucleotide long non-coding RNA is filed under the name Sorghum bicolor (sorghum). RNAcentral describes it as "long non-coding RNA (SBIC_LNC007301)". Lineage: Eukaryota; Viridiplantae; Streptophyta; Magnoliopsida; Poales; Poaceae. The record is from RNAcentral.